CUCCCGUUCCUUGCCUCACAUUUCGGCCAAGGCCCCCGCGUCCCACCCCGUGCGCCCCCGCAUCGCCGCUUCCUCUCCUCCCCUUCCCUUCCCUUCCCUUCCCUUCCGAGAACGCACGUCAAUCCCACCACCGCCAUGGCCGCGCUGGCCCGCGCCUCGCUCCUCCGAUCCGCCGUUCGGCGGCUCCGGGCCUUCUCCGCGGCCGCCGCCGAGGGCGCCGCGCCCCGCCGCGACGCGAGGGCAGCCGAUGCCGCCACGGUGGCGGCCGCGCUGGCUGUCGGGUCGGGGCUGGGGAUCUGGCUGCUCCCCCCUUCGCCGCAGCCGCUCGCGGACUCGGGCCAGGGGGGCUUCGCCGUGGCGGAUGCGGGCUUUGGCGACGUGGGCACCGCGGAGGAGCCCGAGGAGGAGAAGCGCAGGUUCCUCUUCCGAGACUCAUAUCGCAGAAGGGUGUUCUUCAACUAUGAGAAGCGCAUCCGGACGCGCAGCCCUCCUGAGAAGAUCUUUGAGUACUUUGCGUCCAUCCGGAACCCGGAGGGCGAAGUCUACAUGUUACCUGCCGACUUGAUGAGGGCUAUUGUUCCCGUUUUCCCUCCAUCCGAAUCUAAUGUUGUCAGGGAAGGAAGACUCAGAGGAGAGCGCAACCCUGGCGAGCUACAGUGUGCUCCUUCUGAGUUUUUCAUGCUGUUCGACACAAACGGCGAUGGGCUCAUCUCCUUUGCCGAGUAUAUCUUUUUUGUGACAUUGCUUAGCAUUCCUGAGUCGAGCUUCAAUAUAGCUUUCAAGAUGUUUGACCUUGACCACAAUGGGGAAAUAGAUAAAGAAGAGUUUAAGAAAGUAAUGGCGUUGAUGCGGUCCUAUAAUAGGCAAGGAUCUGCCCACAGGGAUGGGUUACGUAUUGGACUCAAGGUUGGUCAGCCAGUGGAAGACGGCGGACUGCUUGAGUACUUUUUUGGCAAGGAUGGCAGUGACCAUCUACACUAUGAAAAGUUCUCUGAUUUUUUGAAGCAAUUACAAGAUGAGAUCGUUCGCUUGGAGUUCAGUCACUAUGAUAUAAAAUCAUCCAAGACAAUAUCUGCUAAGGACUUUGCAUUAUCCAUGGUUGCUUCUGCUGACAUGAAUCAUAUAAACAAGCUACUUGACAGAGUUGACGAUUUUGAUGAAUCUCCUGAUGUCAAGGAUCUGCGCAUUACCUUUGAGGAGUUCAAGGCUUUUGCUGAUCUGCGGCGAAGAUUGGAACCAUUUGCAAUGGCUAUCUUCAGCUAUGGAAAAGUAAACGGUUUGUUGACAAAGCAGGAUCUAAAACGUGCUGCAACUCAUGUUUGUGGGGUGGACUUGACUGAUAAGGUGGUGGAUGUCAUUUUCCAUGUGUUUGAUGCAAACUGUGAUGGGAACCUAAGCUCAGAGGAGUUCUUGAGGGCACUACAAAGACGGGAAAUCAAUAUUCGCCAGCCCACCACUCCAGGUUUAAUGGGGGUAUUCUCCUGCUGGCUGAACUGUACGAAGUGUUCUUUUCAACAAAUGCUGCUUCAGUAGAAUAUAUCUUGAUACUAACAAGAUUAGCCUUCUGUUGCCCUGGGCCACUUUCUAUUUGAUGUACGUAGGCCAUGCUCAACAAAUAUGAAGUUAGUUGCUUCUGUCGCAUUAACAUUCCACUUGCAUAUAUAGCUGGUAUCUCUGAUGGUUUUGGUCAUGGCAGGAUCUGAGCUGAAGAAUGAAUACAACAACCGCUAGAUGUCAGCAGACACGAUCUUGUUGUACAUAUUGUCCUGCAGAUCAAAGUUGUCCAAUUAUGUAGUAGCUGUAAAUAACACAAUUCUGUUCUGGCCCAAGGGCUCAGUUGACAGAUCUCUCCUUCACUGAUGUAAUGAACAUGCGACUUUGAACCUCGUUUACUCUCUCCCAAGUUCUCCCUGUGUCCU
This 1919-nucleotide ribosomal RNA is filed under the name Triticum aestivum (bread wheat). RNAcentral describes it as "partial small subunit ribosomal RNA". The record is from RNAcentral. Lineage: Eukaryota; Viridiplantae; Streptophyta; Magnoliopsida; Poales; Poaceae.